CCUACGGGGGGCAGCAGUGAGGAAUAUUGGUCAAUGGUCGGGAGACUGAACCAGCCAAGCCGCGUGAGGGAGGAAGGUACAGAGUAUCGUAAACCUCUUUUGUCAGGGAACAAAGGCGGGGACGUGUCCCCGGAUGAGUGUACCUGAAGAAAAAGCAUCGGCUAACUCUGUGCCAGCAGCCGCGGUAAUACGGAGGAUGCGAGCGUUAUCCGGAUUUAUGGGGUUUAAGGGGUGAGCAGGCGGUCUGUUAAGUCAGCGGUCAAAGCCCGGGGCUCAACCCCGGCCCGCCGUUGAAACUGGCAGUCUCGAGUUGGAGAGAAGUAUGCGGAAUGCGCGGUGUAGCGGUGAAAUGCAUAGAUAUCGCGCAGAACUCCGAUUGCGAAGGCAGCAUGCCGGCUCCACACUGACGCUGAGGCACGAAAGCGUGGGUAUCGAACAGGAUUAGAUACCCGAGUAGUC
This 459-nucleotide ribosomal RNA is filed under the name uncultured bacterium. RNAcentral's name for it is "partial 16S ribosomal RNA". It matches the Rfam family "Bacterial small subunit ribosomal RNA", at positions 338 to 795 of the family's 1533-position model. The record is from RNAcentral.